Molecule: long non-coding RNA, 1318 nt
Organism: Panicum virgatum (switchgrass)
Lineage: Eukaryota; Viridiplantae; Streptophyta; Magnoliopsida; Poales; Poaceae
Exons: 6
Source: RefSeq, a predicted model, not a curated record
GGAGGAAUACAUCUGGCGAUUGCAGGUGGCACAGCCAGAAGCAGCAGAUCUGAGCUCCUGGUACUAGGGGCAGGAAACUCAGAAGUCAUAUAUCAUAAGUACAAUACGUAGCCAGAGGAGAGGACGAAUACGUUUGAGCUCAGCUGGUACUGAAGGCAGGAUACUCACAAGUCAUACAUCACAAGUAGGAAACUUACGUGAUAAUGCUUGGUUCUUCUAAGCUAGAGGCUAUUUAUCUUCAGAGACUAAUCGACCACAUCGUUCUCCCAAUUCUCAUCUACGGAAGGCUGAAAGCUCAAAAGGCAUAAAUCAUAAUUACAGCACAAGAUCCUAUUCAAUUGCUUUGUGAGUUGAAGCUACGGUACUGAAUCCAGGAACUCAGAAGUCACACAUCACAAGUAGGAAAUAAACGUAAUUAGAGUUGAUUCGUCCGAGCUAGAGGCUAUGGUAUGUUCAUCUUGAGGAACUAAUCAGCCAUCUGUUCGAGAUCCUCAUCUGCUCCUUUGUGAAUCGAGGCUAUGGAACAAGAAGGCUAGACGAGACUGUUUGCGGCCACAGUUGUGCAGCUCAAAGACUAAAAGGCUAAAGAGCUCAGCUUCAGGCUAGCAGUCUACCUGUUUUCCCAGGAUUUUUGGGCAAGGAGACACUUUCAAAAUAAAUGAUGGCCAGUAUCGAAGGUGCUGCUGUGUCUGCAAUUUUGAAAAUUUUGGCAAACAAGUUAGCUCCAUUGAUGAUGAAGCAGUACAGCUCUAUAGUGGGUGUGACAAAGGAUCUCCAGGAUCUCAAGGGUCGAUUUGAGGAUAUCAGCUCCUGGCUAGAAAAAGCAGGAUGUAAAACUACGGAUAAUGAUCAAUUUUUCAUCAGACAAUUGAAACACGUCGCAUACGACGUUGAUGAUAUUGUUGAUGAGUUCCAUCUAGAGGCUGAGAAGCACGAAGCUGAAGUUGCCAACAAUAUUGUGUCAAAAUGUCUCUGCACAAAACCAAAAUCAUAUCUGUUUCAAUUCAAGGCAGCCCUCAAGAUCAAGGCUAUAAAGAAGAGAUUUGAUGCAAUAGUGAAGCAAAGAACUGACUUCAGUGCAACAGUAAACAGUUUGCCGGAAGGUCAUCCUGUUCCACACAUGAACAGGACUGCCAGGGCAAUUCCAACAGUGCCAAAUGUUGCUGUGGCAUCAAUAAUAUGUGGAAGUGAGCGAGAAAAGCAGGAAAUAAUAUCUAAACUAGUGGACAAAAAUAACCAACAGAUAAUCAAGAUAGUCUCCAUAAUUGGGCUUGGUGGCUCUAGGAAAACUGCCUUGUCUAACCUUGUUUUCGGUGAU